UACGUAGGUGGCAAGCGUUGUCCGGAAUUAUUGGGCGUAAAGCGCGCGCAGGUGGUUUUCUUAAGUCUGAUGUGAAAGCCCACGGCUCAACCGUGGAGGGUCAUUGGAAACUGGGGAACUUGAGUGCAGGAGAGAAGAGUGGAAUUCCACGUGUAGCGGUGAAAUGCGUAGAGAUGUGGAGGAACACCAGUGGCGAAGGCGGGUCUCUGGGCCGUAACUGACGCUGAGGAGCGAAAGCGUGGGGGAGCGAACAGG
Molecule: ribosomal RNA, 255 nt
Filed under: uncultured bacterium
Lineage: Bacteria
Description: partial 16S ribosomal RNA
Rfam family: Bacterial small subunit ribosomal RNA
Source: RNAcentral